UUUAUGUUGUUCGCAGUGCACCUUUGCAUCAGAAAGGGGAGGCUUGGGACGAGUGUGUGAUUUGUUUAUCAUUGUUCUUUUCAGCUUCGCGUUACUGCAUAAUCAUCUCUCCUAUUCCAUUAACUAUUUGAAGAUGAACAGCUCUUUAAGUCAACUUUCUCCAGAAAUGAAGCUAGCUACCUUUUCCUCACAAACUUCUUGAAGAAUCUUUUUGAAAAUAGUAUUAUUCCUUGAUUUGAAAAGAUAUUCUCCAUUACCAUAUUUUACUUGAUGGAUUGUCACUAACCAUAGCACUGCUUUAUGUAAUAUAUAUAUAUAUAUAUAAGAACUUCAAUUCAAAGAUAAUUCUCAAAGCAUUUUUAAGGACUUGAUUUUCAUGAAAUCAUAAUGUUCAUUUUCAGCGUCCAACUAAAAUCACAAAUUAUCACACUAUUUUUAAUACAUCUGAAAGAGCAGUCCAUCUUUUAAACUAUAGUUCACACAAAUAAACUUCACCUACAAUUUUGCACAAUAAUUUCCUGACUUUUUGAAGCUAAAUAUUGUACUAGAUGGCAUCCAUUAGUAAAUCAGGAGCAUGAAUGCAUGCGCUUAACAUAAAUCAAGAAAAGGAGGGGCAUGAAAAAGGUAG
Molecule: long non-coding RNA, 628 nt
Filed under: Phoenix dactylifera (date palm)
Lineage: Eukaryota; Viridiplantae; Streptophyta; Magnoliopsida; Arecales; Arecaceae
Description: long non-coding RNA (PDAC_LNC019338)
Source: RNAcentral